UACAGAGGUCUCAAGCGUUGUUCGGAUUCAUUGGGCGUAAAGGGUGCGUAGGUGGCGAUGUAAGUCUAAUGUGAAAUCUCGGGGCUCAACCCCGAAAUUGCAUCGGAUACUGCGUUGCUUGAGGAUUGUAGAGGAGAGUGGAAUUCAUGGUGUAGCAGUGAAAUGCGUAGAUAUCAUGAGGAAGACCAGUUGCGAAGGCGACUCUCUGGGCAACUCCUGACACUGAGGCACGAAGGCUAGGGGAGCAAACGGG
Molecule: ribosomal RNA, 253 nt
Filed under: uncultured bacterium
Lineage: Bacteria
Description: partial 16S ribosomal RNA
Rfam family: Bacterial small subunit ribosomal RNA
Source: RNAcentral